Molecule: long non-coding RNA, 2192 nt
Filed under: Varroa destructor (honeybee mite)
Lineage: Eukaryota; Metazoa; Arthropoda; Arachnida; Mesostigmata; Varroidae
Description: uncharacterized LOC111245321, transcript variant X2
Source: RNAcentral
AUUCAUGAUAUGGUGUUGGUUGUCGUACAUCGCUAUGGCCAAUUUAAAAGACGACAAUUUGAGUAGUUGGUUUCUGGGCUUGAUUAGAGUUUCCGAAAUAACCUAAUAAUAAGUUGAAGUUGAAUUUGUGUACACACAAUUUGAAUCCUCGGGAUGGCCUACGUACACUGAGCGAUGCCCAAUACGAGAAGCUCACCGCGUUGUAUGACCUGUCUGGUUAUUCCUUAUUAUUAUGAAACUUCGAUUGAUUGGUUUAACUGGAAGGUGCUAUGCUGAUGUAGCUAUCGAUGCAGCGUGUGAUCGUCGAGGUGGUAAUCGUAACUGAAGACCAAAGCAAGUUGCUGCAGUACGAAGCAGUCUGGAUGGAUUGCUAGCUGGUACAGGAUUUGGAGCGCUCUUUACAAUUGUUUCUAAACACCGACCUCCGAAAGUAACGUCUCCCGUUGGUGGUUGCGUGUUAUCUAUGUGCUCCAUAGAACAGCUCCGACGAGAACUUCCGUAACUGCUCAUUCUAUCUCGUCACGUCAUUGACCUGGAGUCAAUCGUUGUGUACAUAGUUUUAAGGUAAUGAAGGCACCUUGAGCCAGUGUCUAAAAUUAAAAACUGGCCAUGUCGAAAGCUGCAAGGUUGCGAAGGUCUUCAGUUCCUACAGCUCUGAAUCACUGGAGGUCGAACGCCUGAGAACGGAUGAACGAGAAUCCAGGGGAGACUAGUACUAAUAGUCGGACCUAGAACACGUAAUGUGGACAAUAAGGGGAUACGAUGAAUUUUUUGCUUGCAAGAAAAGAUGCAUCUGAAUUUGUAUUGUAAUAUGCACAUCUUAUUUGCAUUUCAAAUCACAAUAUUGUUUUAGUGCGGAGCAUUCUGUAUGCAUUGCAAGCCGACGCAAGCUUCAUACUUUACAGCUGUUCCUGAAUACUGAUCGACCUCUAAAAGGCUGGUAUGUGUUUACGUUGACAAUUUCCGACGUUCGCCUAACAUUUAGCAGUGCCUACAUAGUGUUGCGAUAUGAUAUUAUGAUAUCAAGAGAAAAAUCCUGAUAUGAUGAGAGAAGGAUGCUUUUUGCUUGCUGCAAUUAGGCGUUAAUUCAAAGUUCCAUUUGUGUAUUGAACAUUGUAGCCUUUGUGACUGCUGAAUUUCUAUCUCGAUUUGAGGUAAAUUACAUGUUAAUUGUUUUUUUUUACAUGUUACUGCGCAUCUAAAUUCGUACAGAAAAAAAACGUAUUAGGAGAAUCUAGUUCUGCUGGAUUAUGAUGAGGCUUGUACUUGCUACUCUGAGUACAGAUGAGAUUUUCACAACUCUGAACAUUCUUAGAAUGAAACAUUUCCAGAGAAACGCUUGGGUUUGAUUCCCUAGUUCAAAAAAAAAUUUUGCCACUUUAGGUAAUGAGGACGCUUCCAAGGAAAUGGCUGAAAAGUAAAAACUGGAUGUAACUGUUAUCAGCGUAACGUGUGUAUUUUAUAUAUCGUCAUUGAGAGGCCAUGAUGCCAAAUCUGCCAUUAUCCAUUGAUAAAAAGCGGCACACAACUAACGCUCAUCCGCAAUCUUCAACUACUUUUAGUUAAUUGUGCUUGCGAGGCUACAAAGAAGAGAACUCAGAGGAAACCAGUAAUAAAGUUGUGCCUGCGAAUAAUUGCAAAUCAAUGGGAAAUAUGAAUAACAAAUGUUCUUGCCAGAGAAUAAUAAAAGAUUCAUCUGAAUUUGUAUUAUAAACAAACUAUUCUCAUUUGCUUUAAAGGUUAUGUAUAUCUUCAACACAUAAGCAGUGUGUAUGAAAUUACGUUCAUAUACAAACACGAUAGCUAUUUUAGGAAGUACAGACGAAAUAACGGUUAUCAAGAGCAUGCGCGCUCAGCUUCUCCAAGAUGUAAAGCAAUGAAUGUUUCGAGUAAUUAAUCGGCACCUUGAAAUUGUGAAGUGAUCGCAUGGUGCGGCUUGAACACAACUAUUCCCUAAUAAAGAGUCAAGUUAAUUUGUUGAGUCAAACAAAAUGUUCAGGUUUUUAUGAAGCUAUUCGUAACGAUAUGGACCCUCGUUUUACGUAAGCAAUUCUACCUGAUUCAUAAGUCUCCCGAAGUAAAGUGUAAAUAUAUGUUACAUGUAUGUAUAGUUUUACCCUACAUUUAAAUUGUGGUAAGCCAGUAGUAGCCGCGCUACACGAAGCUUUUUACAUACCAGUGUGGUCAUUUUG